RNAcentral lists this long non-coding RNA (1709 nucleotides) under Rattus norvegicus (Norway rat). RNAcentral's name for it is "long non-coding RNA NONRATT032420". The stretch from base 1265 to 1329 matches the Rfam family "tRNA". The record is from RNAcentral. Lineage: Eukaryota; Metazoa; Chordata; Mammalia; Rodentia; Muridae.
AUGAAACUAAAACCUUGCUACUUGCCAGAAGGAAGUCUGAAAAGCACAUGUAUCAAGAAAUCAACGUCUAGAAGAGAGCAGUAUCAGGUCUUUGGCUGUGUCUCCUCUAAGCCUCACCAUCUACACCUUCGCAAGAUCCUCACCAAUCCUUCAACCCUAUAUAGACAUCGGUGUUUCCCAAGAGCACUGAGCAGCUCCGGUCUGAAUCAUCCUCCAUGCGCUUUAUUAUAUAUGCAGGUUACGAGCAUGUUGGCUCAGUUCCUGACCCACUCAACGGGUUUUAGUUGCUCAAGGGCAGAUUGCAAUAAAACUCAUCUUGCCACUUGGACCCAGUGCUGUGUUUCACCCUCAAGACAAGCUUUGAGUCAUUGCUUGAACUCUCUGCCCCGAACACCCUUUCCUAGGUGGCACCAAAGGAAGAACCUACAAGCUAUCCUCUGUCAGAACCAAGAUAAAAAUCUCGAUCUUGCCGAGCAUCAGUGGACACCUAGAGUAGACAUGUAAGUAUGGCAAAGGGCUUUCCGGUGCUUGGCCCAGCGUGCAAAGGAUCUGAAGGUGCUGCUACAUGGAUUGCUGCUUUUUAGUCACACAAGUGUCCAUGCACACAUAUAAACACAUGUACAUAAACACAUGUGUAAUUUGUAAAAUACAAAACCAUUUCAAGUCACCAUUGACUCUAAUUUCUUGCCAUAUAUUUCUCUCUCUCUCUGUCUCUCUCUCUCUGUCUCUCUCCCUCUCUCUCUCUCUCUCUCUCUCUCUCCUCUCUCCCUCCUCUGGGUGUGUGUGUGUUUGUGUGUGUGUAUGUGUGUGUUGGGAGAGAGGCAAGUAAAUGCCAUAGCACAUGUGUGGAGAUCAGAGGGCAACUUUCAAGAAUCCAUUCUCUGCUUCCACAUGGGAUUCAGGGAUAGAAUUCAGAUCAUCGGCUUGUGCAGCAAGCACCCUAUAUGGGCAUGCACACACACACACAACACACACACACACACCCCACAGAUAUACAGACACAUACACAUAGUGCACAGACAGACACACACAGAGACACAGACACAUACUACACACAGAGAUACACAUACAUACCACAGACAGACAUACAGACACACACACACACACACACACACACACACAAACACACACCCCACAUGCACUCAUGUGGAGGUCAGAGGUUAACAGCAAGGAUCAUUUUGCAGGCUAGUUUUGUGUCAAUUUGAUGUAAGCUAGACUCAUUUGGGAAAAGGGACUCUCAAUUAAGAAAAUGCUUUCGUGGGUUGGGGAUUUAGCUCAGUGGUAGAGCGCUUGCCUAGCAAGCGCGCAAGGCCCUGGGUUCAGUCCCCAGCUCCGAAAAAAAAAAAAAAUGCUUUCGUAAGAUUGUCCUGUAGGCAGAUCUGGAGUACAUUUUCUUAAAUCCUGAUUGAUGUGGUCAGGCCACCCCUGGGCAAGGGUACUGCAUUGUGUAACAAAGCAGACUGAGCAGUCAUGAGGGGUAAGCCAGUAAGCAUCCUCCUCCAUGGCCUUUGCUUCCGUUCCUGCCUUGUUUGAGUGCCUGCCCUGACUUCCUUCAAUGAUGACUGAUAUGACAGCAUAAUAAACCCUUUUCACCCCAAGUUGCCUUUGGUCCUGGUGUUUUAUCACUCUAAUAGAAACCCAAACUAAAACAAUUCUUUUUUACUUUACUCUUGAGAAGGAAUCUUUUGCUGAACCUGGGCUCACUGAUU